RNAcentral lists this unclassified non-coding RNA (608 nucleotides) under Ralstonia sp. TSC1. Its description in RNAcentral is "partial 16S-23S ribosomal RNA intergenic spacer". The stretch from base 111 to 184 matches the Rfam family "tRNA". Lineage: Bacteria; Pseudomonadati; Pseudomonadota; Betaproteobacteria; Burkholderiales; Burkholderiaceae. The record is from RNAcentral.
UGUCGUAACAAGGUAGCCGUAUCGGAAGGUGCGGCUGGAUCACCUCCUUUAAGAGCGUGCAUCCGACGUUAGGCGUCCACACUUAUCGGUUUGUUUGAUGUUACAGCCAAGGGUCUGUAGCUCAGGUGGUUAGAGCACCGUCUUGAUAAGGCGGGGGUCGUAGGUUCAAGUCCUACCAGACCCACCAAGUUACGGACGGUGGAAGUUGUUCUCUACCGUGACUGGGGGAUUAGCUCAGCUGGGAGAGCACCUGCUUUGCAAGCAGGGGGUCGUCGGUUCGAUCCCGUCAUCCUCCACCAAUACCUUCUGGUUGCCAAACGCAAGCAUCGACAGAGAUGUCGAUGAAUGCGGUGUUUGCGUUUGGCUUAGCCAAGACGAGUGAUAACUCGGCUGUUCUUUAACAAUAUGGAAUGUAGUAAAGGUGUCGCGGUGCGUUGAUGAGACGCACAUUCAAACGCGACACUGGGUUGUGAUUGUAUCAACCAGUAUUACCAGAGCAAUCGAAAGAUUGUCUUGGAAUAUGGCACAACGCGAGAACUCAGCCUAUAGCGAGACAUACUCGUUAUAGGGUCAAGCGAAUAAGUGCAUGUGGUGGAUGCCUUGGGCAA